Quercus robur (English oak) is the source of this 1540-nucleotide long non-coding RNA. RefSeq lists it as uncharacterized. The record is from RefSeq and is a predicted model, not a curated record. The transcript is spliced from 3 exons. NCBI's taxonomy places the organism in Eukaryota, Viridiplantae, Streptophyta, Magnoliopsida, Fagales, Fagaceae.
GACAAUAAAAGAAUACUCAAAUACAAAACACACAGUGAAAUUAUCAGGAAAAUGAAAUGGGUUUCUCACUUUCUCUACCUUAAACCCCAAAGCCAAAAUCUUUACCUUAAAUCCCAAAAGGCAAAACCUUUACAGGAAUUCCUUACAAAAAUGAGUUUCUUUACACCUUCACUAAUGAACCAUCUUUGUCUCAAUGCCUUUAGCAGAAGACCUCGCCUUUCCACUCUGCUCUGCUCUCUCCACCAGGCUUAGCACUUCCUUGUUGCCAUUCUCAUGAUACGCAGCUGAUGAGUGUGUUUACAUGAAAAUUUGGAACUGCUGUCUGUUAACAUAUAAAAAGAGCCUCAAAAUGUACCACUUAUGGACCACUUACUUCUUGAUGAAGGUAUGAUAAUGAUUUCUUCUCAAGUGUAAGUUUAGUUACAUAUAAAUGGAUUAUGGAGUAGUGUCAUCACAGCUGUGGUGAGAGAUUUCCUCUGCACUUUGCAAGGAAGAAUUGUUGAAAUUUAUGGGCGAGGCAUCUGGGAAGACAACACCUGCCCUUCACAUCAUCAAGGUAGCUCAAAAGCUUAGAGGUGCACACUAAUUCUGUCCUCUUGUACUUUGUGAUUGGCGUUUUAAAUAUGACUUGAAUUAGUUUGGUUUGCCAAGGAUAACAGGAAACUUCUUUUUAACUAACCCAUCAUAGUAUAAUUUAAUCAGUCAAAUUAAAACAUAGAUCCUAAACCCUUAACUUUUUUAAUAUAUGUUUAUUACAUUAAUCAAUGAUAUAUAUUUUUUUAAUAAGAUCCUUUUGCAAGAAUUUCCUGCCUAUUCUGCUUCUGGGCUUGUGCUUAAAUUGCUUAUCCCAUCAAGGGUUAAUGCCCCCAAAUUACCCGCCAACUACUAUGGAGGGUGGGGUUAGUUGCUCAUAGGUUUUAAUGGUUAGAGGCAAUUCUAAAGGGCUCUUCUUUAGAAAGGUUCUCUACAUUAUCUAACAUGGAAAAAAAGUUCAUGCCUAUUUUAGCUAUUAUCAUUCUAUCAAGAGAUGUUGGACCUUAUAAAAAAAAGAAAAAAAGUCAAGGGAUGUUGAACCUCAAUGAGUAGAUUAUUACAAAUUCUAGUCCAAAUGGUUCAAAGGACUUCAACAAACCAUGGUCCAUGGAAUAAGAUAUUUCUAUUGUCAUUUCUUCAGCUAUGUUCAGCAUAAAUUUUGUCAGGGCUAAUGGUUCAGCUAGACUACCCUUUGGUGUACUUUCAUUGGAAAUAUCACACUUGUCUGGCAACUGAUCAUGGGAGAUUCUUCUUGUUUCUCAAUUGACAAAUUUUCAUGGGAGAUUGUUCUCAUAGAAAGAGAUGUUCCUUGCGCUUAAAAUUGCCACUGCUUAUCAAUUCAGCAAAAAAUGCAGCACAGAAUGUCUCAGCCUUCUCUUGUAUUGGAAAUAAUUAUAAUAAUAUUGUGGUGUGAAUUAUGUGUUGUAAUGGUUAAUGAAGUGAUAUGUGUUCAUAUUUAUGAUUUCAUUAAUAUUUCAUUUAUUAUCUUUGCACAAUUUUUCAAUAA